GGGCCCAUGGCGCAAUUGGUCAGCGCUGCCGGCUCAUAACCGGUUGGUUCCAGGUUCGAGUCCUGGUGGGCCCACCA
This 77-nucleotide transfer RNA is filed under the name Zetaproteobacteria bacterium. RNAcentral's name for it is "tRNA-Met". It matches the Rfam family "tRNA". From Rfam's summary of the family: Transfer RNA (tRNA) molecules are approximately 80 nucleotides in length. The record is from RNAcentral. RNAcentral also lists the same sequence under 1 other name. Lineage: Bacteria; Pseudomonadati; Pseudomonadota; Candidatius Mariprofundia.